Molecule: long non-coding RNA, 473 nt
Filed under: Penaeus japonicus
Lineage: Eukaryota; Metazoa; Arthropoda; Malacostraca; Decapoda; Penaeidae
Description: uncharacterized LOC122250823
Source: RNAcentral
UCGUAACCUAGCAGUGAGCGCCCUCAUCGUGGCUCUGUGUCUCGUAGCAGCAGUCGCUGCACACAGCAGAUAUGGAAUUGGCGGACACAGACCUGUUGUCCACGGAGGUGUCCUUGGUGGUGUUCACAGUGGUGUCCUCGGAGGUGUCCACGGAGGUGUCCAUGGUGGUAUCCACAGUGGUGUCCACGGAGGCCUUGGACUCGUAGGAUCUGGCAUCCACGGCGCUGGUUCCUUCAGUGCCGCUCAUUACCCCGGUCUUGUUCCCGGUUACAGUUUCUACGACCACCAGCCGGUGCUCGGAUAUAACCAGUGCAAGUUCUGGUGCAAAAGUAGUUAUACUAACAAAUACUACUGCUGCCAACGACCUUACCAGGGAUAGAUCCAGAAAUGUUUACUAAAAUCUAUUUAUAUGUUGUUCAUGUAUUAUGUUGUAUAAUAGUUUUCUUUCUUAAAAAUAAAACUGAUUUUGAUGA